Molecule: long non-coding RNA, 503 nt
Organism: Talpa occidentalis (Iberian mole)
Lineage: Eukaryota; Metazoa; Chordata; Mammalia; Eulipotyphla; Talpidae
Exons: 4
Source: RefSeq, a predicted model, not a curated record
CUUUGUGAUUUUCUCAGUCAUAACCCUCAGUGGAAAUACAAUUUUAUUUGUCCCAGGAGAUUUCUUUUUACCUGCUUAUAACUGAAGAGGCUGCGACUUCAGAUUCACUCCCACUGGAAAGAAAUAACCUGACUCUGGAAAGUAUCAAGGCCUCUGUCUUUGACACCUGACAGCUCACAAUAAAGCAGAAGCAAAGAUCCAACAAACAUCACAGGCCCUGGACAAGAGAGAAAGGUUUGAAUGCCUGCUUAUGAGCACAGAGAAAAUGAUGUAUGUACUCAGACAACAUGGUAACUGGACAAAGUUGUUCCAAGAAGAGGGAACUGACCUGUGAGCCCUGCCUAGCAAGGGCUGAAGAUUUGUGUCUCAGGUUCACCUGUAAUUCAUUCCCCAAACCCCAGUAUGGUCCAGGCACACACCAGUCAAGAAGCACUUCAGUAACUUACAUUGUUAACUUAGCGAUCAAUUAAGAGCAGGAUGCUCUACUCGUAUUCCUGCACUGG